CUCAGAUUGAACGCUAGCGGGAUGCCUUACACAUGCAAGUCGAACGGCAGCACGGACUUCGGUCUGGUGGCGAGUGGCGAACGGGUGAGUAAUGUAUCGGAACGUGCCUAGUAGCGGGGGAUAACUACGCGAAAGCGUAGCUAAUACCGCAUACGCCCUACGGGGGAAAGCAGGGGAUCGCAAGACCUUGCACUAUUAGAGCGGCCGAUAUCGGAUUAGCUAGUUGGUGGGGUAACGGCUCACCAAGGCGACGAUCCGUAGCUGGUUUGAGAGGACGACCAGCCACACUGGGACUGAGACACGGCCCAGACUCCUACGGGAGGCAGCAGUGGGGAAUUUUGGACAAUGGGGGAAACCCUGAUCCAGCCAUCCCGCGUGUGCGAUGAAGGCCUUCGGGUUGUAAAGCACUUUUGGCAGGAAAGAAACGUCAUGGGUUAAUACCCCGUGAAACUGACGGUACCUGCAGAAUAAGCACCGGCUAACUACGUGCCAGCAGCCGCGGUAAUACGUAGGGUGCAAGCGUUAAUCGGAAUUACUGGGCGUAAAGCGUGCGCAGGCGGUUCGGAAAGAAAGAUGUGAAAUCCCAGAGCUUAACUUUGGAACUGCAUUUUUAACUACCGAGCUAGAGUGUGUCAGAGGGAGGUGGAAUUCCGCGUGUAG
Molecule: ribosomal RNA, 660 nt
Filed under: Achromobacter sp. 110602_136_C_H7
Lineage: Bacteria; Pseudomonadati; Pseudomonadota; Betaproteobacteria; Burkholderiales; Alcaligenaceae
Description: bacterial SSU rRNA
Rfam family: Bacterial small subunit ribosomal RNA
Source: RNAcentral